UACGUAGGGUGCGAGCGUUGUUCGGAAUUACUGGGCGUAAAGGGCUCGUAGGCGGCCAACUAAGUCAGACGUGAAAUCCCUCGGCUUAACCGGGGAACUGCGUCUGAUACUGGAUGGCUUGAGUUUGGGAGAGGGAUGCGGAAUUCCAGGUGUAGCGGUGAAAUGCGUAGAUAUCUGGAGGAACACCGGUGGCGAAGGCGGCAUCCUGGACCAACACUGACGCUGAGGAGCGAAAGCCAGGGGAGCAAACGGG
This 253-nucleotide ribosomal RNA is filed under the name uncultured bacterium. Its description in RNAcentral is "partial 16S ribosomal RNA". It matches the Rfam family "Bacterial small subunit ribosomal RNA", at positions 524 to 776 of the family's 1533-position model. The record is from RNAcentral.